RNAcentral lists this ribosomal RNA (469 nucleotides) under uncultured bacterium. RNAcentral's name for it is "bacterial SSU rRNA". It matches the Rfam family "Bacterial small subunit ribosomal RNA", at positions 355 to 839 of the family's 1533-position model. The record is from RNAcentral.
UGGGGAAUCUUGCACAAUGGGCGAAAGCCUGAUGCAGCAACGCCGCGUGCGGGAAGACAGCCCUAGGGUUGUAAACCGCUUUCAGCAGGGAAGAAAAUGACGGUACCUCCAGAAGAAGCACCGGCUAACUACGUGCCAGCAGCCGCGUAAUACGUAGGGUGCAAGCGUUGUCCGGAAUUAUUGGGCGUAAAGAGCUCGUAGGCGGUCCGUUGCGUCUGCCGUGAAAACCCGGAGCUCAACUCCGGGCCUGCGGUGGAUACGGGCGGACUAGAGUCCGGUAGGGGAGACUGGAAUUCCUGGUGUAGCGGUGGAAUGCGCAGAUAUCAGGAGGAACACCGGUGGCGAAGGCGGGUCUCUGGGCCGGAACUGACGCUGAGGAGCGAAAGCGUGGGGAGCGAACAGGAUUAGAUACCCUGGUAGUCCACGCCGUAAACGGUGGGCGCUAGGUGUGGGGAUCGUUUCCACGAUC